Vicia villosa (hairy vetch) is the source of this 952-nucleotide long non-coding RNA. RefSeq lists it as uncharacterized. The record is from RefSeq and is a predicted model, not a curated record. The transcript has 3 exons. Lineage: Eukaryota; Viridiplantae; Streptophyta; Magnoliopsida; Fabales; Fabaceae.
UCUAAUGUUAAUACAAAAUUGAAAGUAAACUGAAAGGGGAAUUUAGGGUUACGUGUUGUGGCUCUUGGAAUUUCUCUAAAGCUUCCUCCUCCCUUCCUUCAAUCGUGAGCGGCGCCGGUGAGACGCAACUUCACCUUUUCCGAUCAAGAUCUCAAAUCGCGCUGUGAGAACGGGACAACUUCGUCCCUCAUCCUCCCCUGUCCAAUUGCCUCAGUGCUUUCUCGAACUCAGCACACUCUCAAACUCCCUCACCUCCUCUCGAUUCAAAAUCGCGGCGAUCACCACCGCAAACAUCUCUUCGCUCAAAUCGUCUCCCUCAGAAUCUCAUCUCUCAGUUAUCUCCUGUCGGAGAAGUUUCGGUGACUCUUCCGAGGUGACGCAGAUGAAUAAAACUUCAGAAAGUAUCAACGUGAAAUCCAGGUGAAGGUAUACCGAAAGUGAUGAUCAAAGCGGUGGAAUUGUCCUUAAAGAUUAAUGAAGAUGCGCAGAGUUUGUCAAGAUGAUGAACAGCGAUGGUGAUGAUUAUUGUGGAUAAAGGUCGAUAUGGUUUAUGGAGAUUUUCUGGUUUUCUUUUGGAGGAUUUGUGGAAGGUUGUUAGAGAUGAAGAUGAAUUGAAGAAUUGUUUCCAGAGAUGAAGAUUGAAGAGGUUUUGCUGUUAGGUCGUGAAGAUUGAAAGGAGCGAUUGAAGAUGAUGAAAUUGAUGAUUGAAACGUUAAGAAGAAGAUCCAGAAAGAGAAAUUUCUGUUGAAGAGUUUGUUCCAUUUUCUCUGGUUUGGUUUUGGUGAAGUUGUUGCCUUGCAGUUCGGUUCAGAGGCUUGAGUGUGCUGCGGAUUUGUUUCAGUUUUGAUGCAGGAAUUUUUUCUAUGUGAUUCUAUUUUGUAUACUAAUUUGGAUACUGUAAUGGAUAGUAUAUUUUGUAAUGAACAUGAACUUUUGUAUAAUAUGGAUAUGG